CAGAGGGCCUCCGGCGCGGGUUUAGGCUACCCGUGCACCGCAAACAGUCUUCAUGGCGGGCCGUAGUCAAGGGGCGAUGCGUCUGCUGUAGGUUGGUCCAGGCUUCCGACUGAGAAGCCUCGUCUUGCGUGGCUGGCCAUACAGUGAACUCGACGAGGCGGGGAACCGAGCAGUCGUAAGCUGUCGUGGCUGGUGCUUGCAAACAAACGGGGUGGAGGAAGAGGUUCUGGGUUUACCAGUCUGCGGCUACGUCUCCACCUUUGGCGCGUCCUCUG
Molecule: signal recognition particle RNA, 275 nt
Filed under: Candidatus Aenigmatarchaeota archaeon
Lineage: Archaea; Nanobdellati; Candidatus Aenigmatarchaeota
Description: signal recognition particle sRNA
Rfam family: Archaeal signal recognition particle RNA
Source: RNAcentral